RNAcentral lists this unclassified non-coding RNA (352 nucleotides) under soil metagenome. Its description in RNAcentral is "partial contains 5.8S ribosomal RNA, internal transcribed spacer 2, and large subunit ribosomal RNA". The stretch from base 1 to 120 matches the Rfam family "5.8S ribosomal RNA", at positions 35 to 154 of the family's 154-position model. The record is from RNAcentral.
GAUGAAGAACGUAGCGAAAUGCGAUAAGUAAUGUGAAUUGCAGAAUUCAGUGAAUCAUCGAAUCUUUGAACGCACAUUGCGCCCGCCAGUAUUCUGGCGGGCAUGCCUGUUCGAGCGUCAUUACAACCCUCAGGCCCCCGGGCCUGGCGUUGGGGAUCGGCGGAGCCCCCCGUGGGCACACGCCGUCCCCCAAAUACAGUGGCGGUCCCGCCGCAGCUUGCAUCGCGUAGUAGCUAACACCUCGCGACUGGAGAGCGGCGCGGCCACGCCGUAAAACACCCAACUCUUCUGAAGUUGACCUCGAAUCAGGUAGGAAUACCCGCUGAACUUAAGCAUAUCAAUAAGCGGAGGA